This 490-nucleotide ribosomal RNA is filed under the name Bacillus sp. HSS-7019. Its description in RNAcentral is "bacterial SSU rRNA". It matches the Rfam family "Bacterial small subunit ribosomal RNA", at positions 1 to 481 of the family's 1533-position model. The record is from RNAcentral. Lineage: Bacteria; Bacillati; Bacillota; Bacilli; Caryophanales; Bacillaceae.
UAGAGUUUGAUCCUGGCUCAGGACGAACGCUGGCGGCGUGCCUAAUACAUGCAAGUCGAGCGGACUUGCUGGAGCUUGCUCCAGCAGGUUAGCGGCGGACGGGUGAGUAACACGUGGGCAACCUGCCUGUAAGACUGGGAUAACUCCGGGAAACCGGAGCUAAUACCGGAUAGUAUCUUGAACCGCAUGGUUCAAGUUGGAAAGACGGUUUCGGCUGUCACUUACAGAUGGGCCCGCGGCGCAUUAGCUAGUUGGUGAGGUAAUGGCUCACCAAGGCAACGAUGCGUAGCCGACCUGAGAGGGUGAUCGGCCACACUGGGACUGAGACACGGCCCAGACUCCUACGGGAGGCAGCAGUAGGGAAUCUUCCGCAAUGGACGAAAGUCUGACGGAGCAACGCCGCGUGAGUGAUGAAGGUUUUCGGAUCGUAAAACUCUGUUGUUAGGGAAGAACAAGUGCGAGAGUAACUGCUCGCACCUAGACGGACCAA